Long non-coding RNA from Sesamum indicum (sesame), 776 nucleotides. RefSeq lists it as uncharacterized. The record is from RefSeq and is a predicted model, not a curated record. NCBI's taxonomy places the organism in Eukaryota, Viridiplantae, Streptophyta, Magnoliopsida, Lamiales, Pedaliaceae.
AUAGGUAGGAAGAUGUUUAAAGAUUUCAUGUUGACCAAAAGAAAAGAGAGGUUUGAAAAGGCAACAAAGCAAAAAAAAGUCUGAUUACCAACUCUCGGUCGGUGUACUUUUUCUUAAAUUCCUGAGAGAAAAAAGAGAGUGAUAUUUCGGGUCUUGGUCGUAUUCAAAUGUUUGCUGAUGAAGCCGAGUAAACAAUCAACAACCAUUGGAUUAUUGCAAUCAAGUUUCAAGAUUCACCACCGUCACAAGGUUCAAGUUCGAUGGGAGGUACGCAGUGCAGGAGCGGCGCCGAACAAGGUCGUAUUGCAAACAAGAAACAAAAUACAAAUCAUUGUCAAAACUCAGUAGAAGCCAUGAAAAGAAGAAACGGACUUGAAAUUUAACGAUAUUACUCGAGCACGGCUACAUCAUGAGCACUCAACAUUUUGCAGUUUUUCUUCCUCAAAAAGCGAUCUACUUAAAAACACGGCUUUGAGAAAUAUCCUACAGAUUUUAUUACAUACUUGAAGCAGAAGAUCAAAAGCUUAUCCUUUCCUAGAACGAUCGGCACUCGGCAUUAUUUCCUCUGCCGGUUUAGACGGCGGCUGCGGCGGCAGCUGAACGCCUCCGCCGCUUCUAUCUUGCGGUGGUGGAGAAGCUUUUGUCGCCGGAGGCGGCGGAGCAAUGUCGUCCGGGAGAGGAGCGGAGAGGUUGUCGGGUAUGACGAAGACGCCCUGGGAUGGGCGCCGGUGGUGGCGGUUAGUUCUCUGAGACAUUUUUGUGAAGCACUGUGUGAA